RNAcentral lists this ribosomal RNA (126 nucleotides) under Candidatus Omnitrophota bacterium. Its description in RNAcentral is "partial 23S ribosomal RNA". It matches the Rfam family "Bacterial large subunit ribosomal RNA", at positions 1 to 126 of the family's 2925-position model. Lineage: Bacteria; Pseudomonadati; Candidatus Omnitrophota. The record is from RNAcentral.
GGCCAAGCUAAUAAGGGUGUACGAUGGAUGCCCUGGCGAAGACUGGCGAUGAAGGGCGUGGCAAGCUGCGAUAAGCCCCGGGGAGGUGCAAGCAACCUGUGACCCGGGGAUUCCCGAAUGGGGCAA